AAACUGUGGUUUAGGAGGUUUACACUUGAGAAACACGAAGGAUUGCUAGUAGGAUUGUUCUUUCGUUUCUGUUUUAAUGCUGCUUGAAAACUAAUAUAGUCUGCUGGGGAAUGUGGAGAUCUGAUGCUGAAGGGAAAGCCUCCCAUGGCCAAAGUAACCAACCACACACACAGGAGCACAAAGAUGACAAUGAUAUAACUUUGCCCGAUUUAUGA
Molecule: long non-coding RNA, 215 nt
Organism: Dermochelys coriacea (leatherback sea turtle)
Lineage: Eukaryota; Metazoa; Chordata; Testudines; Dermochelyidae
Exons: 2
Source: RefSeq, a predicted model, not a curated record